GACGAACGCUGGCGGCGUGCUUAACACAUGCAAGUCGAGCGGUAAGGCCCUUUCGGGGGUACGACGAGCGGCGAACGGGUGAGUAACACGUGGGUGACCUGCCCUCCAGCUCUGGGAGUAAAGCCUCGGGAAACCGGGGUCUAACACUGGAUAUGACUCCAUGACGCAUGUUGUGGGGUGGAAAGCCUUGUGCGGCUGAGGAUGGGCCCGCGGCCUAUCAGCUUGUUGGUGGGGUGAUGGCCUACCAAGGCGACGACGGGUAGCCGGCCUGAGAGGGCGA
Molecule: ribosomal RNA, 280 nt
Filed under: uncultured bacterium
Lineage: Bacteria
Description: partial 16S ribosomal RNA
Rfam family: Bacterial small subunit ribosomal RNA
Source: RNAcentral